UUAGAACGUCGUGAGACAGUUCGGUCCCUAUCUGCCGUGGGCGCUGGAGAAUUGAGGGGGGCUGCUCCUAGUACGAGAGGACCGGAGUGGACGCAUCACUGGUGUUCGGGUUGUCAUGCCAAUGGCACUGCCCGGUAGCUAAAUGCGGAAGAGAUAAGUGCUGAAAGCAUCUAAGCACGAAACUUGCCCCGAGAUGAGUUCUCCCUGAGACUUUAAGUCUCCUGAAGGAACGUUAAAGACGAUGACGUUGAUAGGCCGGGUGUGUAAGCGCAGCGAUGCGUUGAGCUAACCGGUACUAAUGAACCGUGAGGCUUAACCUUACAACGCCGAAG
Molecule: ribosomal RNA, 332 nt
Filed under: Klebsiella pneumoniae
Lineage: Bacteria; Pseudomonadati; Pseudomonadota; Gammaproteobacteria; Enterobacterales; Enterobacteriaceae
Description: partial 23S ribosomal RNA
Rfam family: Bacterial large subunit ribosomal RNA
Source: RNAcentral